GCUCGAUAUUUUUCUGUCAUUCAAGGCUCUUCAACGAUUGUUUUAUUUCGGGGACACAUAUAGGUAGUAAGUAUUGAAUAUAGGCUAUGGAUCGUGAUUUAAGAGAAUUUUUUAUAAAGUUUGGACAUGCAAAUGUUCACAAUUGUAGUAUAUUUACAAUUGUAUAUAUUUGUAAUUUCCUGACAUAUUCAUGUAAAUAUUUAUCACUUAUUUACUGAGACCGAGGGAAACAGUGUGUUUUGUG
Non-coding RNA from Paramuricea clavata, 244 nucleotides. The record is from the annotation of a GenBank genome assembly. Lineage: Eukaryota; Metazoa; Cnidaria; Anthozoa; Malacalcyonacea; Plexauridae.